Molecule: ribosomal RNA, 163 nt
Filed under: uncultured bacterium
Lineage: Bacteria
Description: partial 16S rRNA
Rfam family: Bacterial small subunit ribosomal RNA
Source: RNAcentral
UAGGGAAUCUUCCACAAUGGACGAAAGUCUGAUGGAGCAACGCCGCGUGAGUGAAGAAGGUUUUCGGAUCGUAAAGCUCUGUUGUUGGUGAAGAAGGAUAGAGGCAGUAACUGGUCUUUAUUUGACGGUAAUCAACCAGAAAGUCACGGCUAACUACGUACAG